RNAcentral lists this ribosomal RNA (203 nucleotides) under uncultured bacterium. RNAcentral's name for it is "partial 16S ribosomal RNA". It matches the Rfam family "Bacterial small subunit ribosomal RNA", at positions 1297 to 1500 of the family's 1533-position model. The record is from RNAcentral.
AUUGCAGGCUGCAACUCGCCUGCAUGAAGUCGGAAUUGCUAGUAAUCGUAGGUCAGCAUACUACGGUGAAUACGUUCCCGGGCCUUGUACACACCGCCCGUCAAACCAUGAGAGUUGGCAACACCCGAAGUCGGUAGUCUAACCGCAAGGAGGACGCCGCGAAGGUGGGGUUGAUGAUUAGGGUUAAGUCGUAACAAGGUAUC